This is a long non-coding RNA of Portunus trituberculatus (swimming crab), 1107 nucleotides long. RefSeq lists it as uncharacterized. The record is from RefSeq and is a predicted model, not a curated record. The transcript has 2 exons. Lineage: Eukaryota; Metazoa; Arthropoda; Malacostraca; Decapoda; Portunidae.
AUAACUGCAUGAGAGAGAGAGAGAGAGAGAGAGAGAGAGAGAGAGAGAGAGAGAGAAAAUCAUGUGGGUUGCUAUGGGCAAAUGCACCAAUCAGCCAUAACAAAGUAUUAAAACUGAGAAUGUGUAUGUGUAUUAAGUUUGUUUUUUGUUUGCUCUCAUCUCUUUACUUAAUCUUAAACCAUCCCAAUACUACUCAAGUGCAGCACAACUCAUUGCCUCACAAUUGUCCUCAUUACCAUUCACUAUUUGAGUCUACACCUUCACUACAACUAUUGAACAAAACAAGAGUAAAAUUUUUGGGCUUUAUUAUAAACAUUUUAAACUUAGUGAAGUGGUCCAUGACACUAUCACUUGAGGCCACUUGUGAACACAGCUGAGACGAGCCUGAAGUGGUACUAGGUAGGCUGGCGUGGCGCUGGCAGAACAUAGCUGCACCAUAGGAAGGAGGCAGUGGAAGAAGGGGGGGAGGGGAAAGGACCUAAGUGGCAGCAUCACCGUUUUGGCUACACUUCACAUUGCACACUCAAGUAAUCCCAGGAAAUCAUUUAAAACACAGUAUGCAAUGGCUCCAAUUGCAUUAUGUUGGAAUGGUCUAUUAGUGAUAGUCCAAUGUUACUGUAAUACAGCUAGCAGAACACCUCUCGCCUAAUUAUAUACACUGGUGCAGUUUUGGCACCAAUACAACAAUUCCUCUACUUAAAUAAGAAUUUUAGCACUGAUUCCACAAUUUAAGCAUUGCUACCAACAAUAACAAUCUAUGAAGUGCAAGAGACUGAUUGCUAAGUGUUCUUGACUGGAAUCGAUUACAUAGAUACUGAUAACAUUAUUCAUGAUGGAACAUGUGAUCUGACACUUGGAAUAAGUUGGACAGAACCCAGAGGUUUUGUCUGAACACUGCAGGACAUGAAUUGACUAUGUUCUAAAUGAUGACUUCUGGCUCCUUGCUGGUAGAGCCACAGCCAUGUUGACACUUUCACUACAGGAACAAAAUGACUUGAAGUAUUAUACAAACAGAAGCGAGCCUCAGUAAACACACAGCCAUGGAAUGCCUAGUUGUUAGGCAGAACAAAAACAUCAUGUAGAAAAGAAGAUUUAAAAAAAUAAAAG